GGCUGGCAAGCCUCUCUGCUGCUUCUGGAGUCACCUUGGUCAUGAGUUCCUCCACUGCAGCAGGGAAAGGAAAGUGGGGCAGGAGCUGAGGCCAUGGGCAACUCCACCACAUCCAGGUACUUCCCGGUGUAGCCUUCUGGCUUUGCUUAUGAUGGGUUCAUUUGGCUUCUCUGAGUCAUGUUGCUUCUCUGGACAAGUGAGGUGUUUGCUGUCAGUGAAGUGGGCUGAAUCAACAAGGUGUCAUUCUCUAAAAGCCAGAAAUUGGGCUGGCAGCGCUUUGUGGGAUGGGAGAAGAACAUGAAACACAAAGUGCUUCAGAGGAACGAGGUUGUCAAAAUGGAGAGAGAAGCCCAGAGAGGAGGUUGGGGCAAUGCUGAAGUUUGGUUCUGUAAUUGGCGUUCUGGAGCAUACCCUUAUAUAUUCAACACAUAUCUGUGAAGUGUCAGCCUCAUGCCAGGUCCUGUUCUCAGAACUGGAAAUGUAAGAAACAAGGUGACUCCUUCAGAUCAGGAUGCAGCAACAUUCUCAAGGAAGAGGAAACCAUCUUUAUACCACAAAGGUCUAAAGUCUGAUUCCACCGACAAGGGAGGUUCCCUGGGUGGUUGGAGUUUCAGGAUACGCGCAGAACUUCAAAUCCUCCCGUAUAUCUCCAUUUCAGUUCCCCAGUGCUCAUUUGAUACUGACCAAUGUGCUGUACGAUGCAAUGUAUGGGUAAGAAUAUGGGCUGCGGAAUCAAUUGUUUUCAUCCCAGCUCCGCUCCUGCCAGCUAUUUGACCUAUGAAAAUUCACUUAACCUCUCUGUACUUUGGUUUCUUAAUCCGUGAAAUAGAGAAGACAAUAAUACUUAAAAGGAUGCUUCUGAAUAUUAAAUAUGAUAAUACAAAUAUAGCACUUAGAACAGUGCCUUGAACAUAGCAUUUUCUAAGUGCUAGCCAUGCCUAUCAUUAUGAGGCUUGACAAGGCUGAGAAUUCAACUGAUAUUACAGUUGGACAACUCACAGCAUAAAUCUUUGGCCACUUUAGCCCUGCAGCUGCUUGAGCUAAGGAAUCAUUUUGAAUGGUUUUAGAAAGUCCCUGGGUUUCUAAAUGUCCUUGAUUUGAGCCAAGAAUUUAGGUUUUUAAACUUUUUAAUGAGUUAAUUUUUCUUCUUUAAAUUCUAUUUCAUGAUAGAAUAAGGUUGAUUUUUUUCACUAUAGGAGUAAUACAAUGUAUUAUAAAAAAAAUCACCACUGCAGAUACAUGUAAAGAAAAAAGUUAAAAUAAAAUGAAAGCUCUUUACCCUGAGAUGACAUUAACGUUUUGGUGAAUAUUCUUCUAUGCAUCUCUGUAUACAUCCCUGAAGUUCUGUGGGCCUGCGUUUUCACAGGAGCCCCAAGAACUCCAUGCUCCAGGACUCUCAACUCCAGUUCUCAAAGUUCUCUGGUACAAGAAGAACUAAAUCUUGCACUCAUUUCGUCCAUCAAGAUCUUGGAGGAGCAGAGGCUGUGUUUGUACCCUGCCAGCUCUUGAAUCUCCCCUGGUUAGAAAAGGAAAAUGGCAGUUGACUUGGAUUUGAGAAGCAGGCUGUCGACACAGAUUGAUGCCUAUUCUUUUUAAUAAAGUGUCUAGUGACAAUAAAUUAGCGCUUCUCACAUCCAUUCAUUAUGUACUUCAUGCACUGUAUGUGCUAGGCAAUAUGAUCCCCUAAAUCUUUACCCCAGAAGGUAUUUUAUCCUAGGAGACCAUAGGCAAUACAGAUUUUCCUCCUUAUAAUGACUGCUUAUUCAUCUAUCUUUUUGUCAUACCAUCUCUCGAAAAGUUUACUUCUUUGCAAAUGACUCUUUUCUUUACAAGUGUAAUGACAUUUUUUUUGUGCUUCAAAAUGUGCUAAAGAUAAAUAUUACAAGAAGUAAUAGUUCAGCAUUAUAUUUUCAGGCAAAGACAUACUCAUCAGUAGACUUGACAAAACAGUUUAUAGUCUAAGAAUAUUCUAUAGAGUUGUGUUUAGAUGAAAGCAAAAUUGUGCUCUGCAUACACAAACCAAGCGAAAAGAGAUGAUUCUUGAGUCUGUUUAGUGCAUGCACCGUUCCUGCAUUUUAAAAUACUCUUGUGUUUUGCUCUUAAAGUGGUUUCAAGAACAUUAGUUUUAAGUAUAGUUUUAGGUUGAAAAUUGGUGAAUAAAAUGAUGUAAAAAGAAGUGUGCCUCCAAGAAUGACUGCCUUGCACUCUUCCUCCACUAGCUGCCAUCUAUGUUCCAGUUUCCUCUUCCUCUUUUAGUGAGGACGUUAAACCUUCACUGCACUAAAUUUUAUAUGUAAACUCUUUAUUUUCAACUGUUGUUAUUAAUUACGUAGACUUGUUUUCAUUGUUCAAUUUAUAUAUUUUUCUAACAACUGAAAAUUGUUUGGAUAUUUUGGUUUGGGAUGAAACGAAUCAUAAUUUGUUCCAUCAAAAUUAAUAUAAUUUUCAAAAAAUUUCAUGGCUUUUCUUUGAGCAGCAAAGUUUUCAAGAAUGAAUUAAAGUUAUUGGGAAAGA
Equus caballus (horse) is the source of this 2514-nucleotide long non-coding RNA. The record is from Ensembl. NCBI's taxonomy places the organism in Eukaryota, Metazoa, Chordata, Mammalia, Perissodactyla, Equidae.